UUGGACAAUGGGCGAAAGCCUGAUCCAGCCAUGCCGCGUGCAGGAUGAAGGCCUUCGGGUUGUAAACUGCUUUUGUACGGAACGAAAAAGUCUUCUCUAAUACAGGGGGCGAAUGACGGUACCGUAAGAAUAAGCACCGGCUAACUACGUGCCAGCAGCCGCGGUAAUACGUAGGGUGCGAGCGUUAAUCGGAAUUACUGGGCGUAAAGCGUGCGCAGGCGGUUAUAUAAGACAGAUGUGAAAUCCCCGGGCUCAACCUGGGAACUGCAUUAGUGACUGUAUAGCUAGAGUGCGGCAGAGGGGGAUGGAAUUCCGCGUGUAGCAGUGAAAUGCGUAGAUAUGCGGAGGAACACCGAUGGCGAAGGCAAUCCCCUGGGCCUGCACUGACGCUCAUGCACGAAAGCGUGGGGAGCAAACAGGAUUAGAUACCCUGGUAGUCCACGCCCUAAACGAUGUCAACUGGUUGUUGGGUCUUCACUGACUCAGUAACGAAGCUAACGCGUGAAGUUGACCGCCUGGGGAGUACGGCCGCAAGGUUAAAACUCAAAGGAAUUGACGGGGACCCGCACAAGCGGUGGAUGAUGUGGUUUAAUUCGAUGCAACGCGAAAAACCUUACCCACCUUUGACAUGUACGGAAGGGCGCAUAGACGCGAAUGUGCUCCAAAGAGAA
This 671-nucleotide ribosomal RNA is filed under the name uncultured bacterium. Its description in RNAcentral is "bacterial SSU rRNA". It matches the Rfam family "Bacterial small subunit ribosomal RNA", at positions 364 to 1026 of the family's 1533-position model. The record is from RNAcentral.